CUCUCGCAUCGAUGAAGAACGCAGCGAAUUGCGAUAAGUAAUGUGAAUUGCAGAAUUCAGUGAAUCAUCGAAUCUUUGAACGCACCUUGCACCCUUUGGUAUUCCAAAGGGUACGCCCGUUUGAGUGUCAUUGUAACCUCACAUCCAAAGCCUUUCUCCAAGGCCUCGGAAGGUGGAAAUUGGAUGCAUGCGAGACUUUCUCGCUCGUCUCAAAAGAAUUCCGCAAUGUGCCCCAGCUUUGUGAGUCGGUGUGAUAGUUGUCUUCACCGCACAGAUGCAAUUUUGGUGGCCAAUGCCCUCGAAAGGUCCCCUCUGGGACAAUGACUUGACAAUUUGACCUCAAAUCGGGUGGGACUACCCGCUGAACUUAAGCAUAUCAAUAAGCGGAGGAAAAGGAACU
This 400-nucleotide ribosomal RNA is filed under the name uncultured fungus. RNAcentral describes it as "eukaryotic LSU rRNA". The stretch from base 1 to 130 matches the Rfam family "5.8S ribosomal RNA", at positions 25 to 154 of the family's 154-position model. Lineage: Eukaryota; Fungi. The record is from RNAcentral.